RNAcentral lists this transfer RNA (68 nucleotides) under bovine gut metagenome. It matches the Rfam family "tRNA". Rfam says of the family: Transfer RNA (tRNA) molecules are approximately 80 nucleotides in length. The record is from RNAcentral.
GGGUGUAGUUCAGUUGGUAGAACGACGGUCUCCAAAACCGUAUGUCGCGGGUUCAAGUCCUUCCGCCC